GAGUUGAUGGCUUCCUGGUAGAGUGCAUGCUUUGUAUGUAUGAUGUCCUGGGUUCAAUCCCCAGCUGGUAAA
Dallia pectoralis (Alaska blackfish) is the source of this 72-nucleotide non-coding RNA. Lineage: Eukaryota; Metazoa; Chordata; Actinopteri; Esociformes; Umbridae. The record is from the annotation of a GenBank genome assembly.